Molecule: ribosomal RNA, 921 nt
Filed under: uncultured bacterium
Lineage: Bacteria
Description: bacterial SSU rRNA
Rfam family: Bacterial small subunit ribosomal RNA
Source: RNAcentral
UGCAAGUCGAACGGUAACAUGAGAGCUUGCUCUUGAUGACGAGUGGCGCACGGGUGCGUAACGCGUAUACAAUCUACCUUUUACAGAGGGAUAGCCCAGAGAAAUUUGGAUUAAUACCUCAUAGUAUUAUUAUAUGGCAUCAUAAAGUAAUUAAAGAUUUAUCGGUAAAAGAUGAGUAUGCGUUCUAUUAGUUAGUUGGAGUGGUAACGGCACCCCAAGACAGCGAUAGAUAGGGGCCCUGAGAGGGGGAUCCCCCACACUGGUACUGAGACACGGACCAGACUCCUACGGGAGGCAGCAGUGAGGAAUAUUGGACAAUGGAGGCAACUCUGAUCCAGCCAUGCCGCGUGCAGGAAGACGGCCCUAUGGGUUGUAAACUGCUUUUAUACAGGAAGAAACCGCUCUACGUGUAGAGCUCUGACGGUACUGUAAGAAUAAGGAUCGGCUAACUCCGUGCCAGCAGCCGCGGUAAUACGGAGGAUCCAAGCGUUAUCCGGAAUCAUUGGGUUUAAAGGGUCCGUAGGUGGAUAAUUAAGUCAGAGGUGAAAGUCUGCAGCUCAACUGUAGAAUUGCCUUUGAUACUGGUUAUCUUGAGUUAUUAUGAAGUAGUUAGAAUAUGUAGUGUAGCGGUGAAAUGCAUAGAUAUUACAUAGAAUACCAAUUGCGAAGGCAGAUUACUAAUAAUAUACUGACACUGAUGGACGAAAGCGUGGGGAGCGAACAGGAUUAGAUACCCUGGUAGUCCACGCCGUAAACGAUGGUUACUAGCUGUUCGGACUUCGGUCUGAGUGGCUAAGCGAAAGUGAUAAGUAACCCACCUGGGGAGUACGUUCGCAAGAAUGAAACUCAAAGGAAUUGACGGGGGCCCGCACAAGCGGUGGAGCAUGUGGUUUAAUUCGAUGAUACGCGAGGAACCUUACC